UUUCCGUAGGUGAACCUGCGGAAGGAUCAUUAUUGAAUGAACUUGGUGUGGUUGUUGCUGGCCCUCUCGGGAGCAUGUGCACACCCACCAUCCUCAUCUCUCCACCUGUGCACUUCUUGUAGACCUGGAUACACUUUCCGAGGCAACUCGGUCUGGAGGAAUGCUGUGCAAGCUUUCUUUGUAUUUCCUGGCCUACGUUUUUCAUAUACCCCAUAGCAUGUAACAGAAUGUAUCAUUGGUCCUUUGUGCCUAUAAACCUUAUACAACUUUCAGCAACGGAUCUCUUGGCUCUC
This 293-nucleotide unclassified non-coding RNA is filed under the name plant metagenome. Its description in RNAcentral is "partial contains small subunit ribosomal RNA, internal transcribed spacer 1, and 5.8S ribosomal RNA". The record is from RNAcentral.